Long non-coding RNA from Notothenia coriiceps (black rockcod), 1998 nucleotides. RefSeq lists it as uncharacterized. The record is from RefSeq and is a predicted model, not a curated record. NCBI's taxonomy places the organism in Eukaryota, Metazoa, Chordata, Actinopteri, Perciformes, Nototheniidae. The transcript is spliced from 2 exons.
CUAUGCUAUUGCCUAAAAAUAGCAUGAUAGAUGACCUUUAAAGAUUUACGGUUCCUGAAAAUAAUAAUUUACAGUUUUAAAUGUAAACCGGAGCCAAUACAUAAAAGACUUCAGUCAAUGUGCAAUAAAUAUAGUGCAAUAUAUAUGACUUGACAUUUCCUGCAGGAUUUGCUCAUCUAUUUAAAAAGGUGACGACACACUGUCCUAAUACACAACAUUGUGCAAAUGUGGAUACAUUUCUGCUAUAGCACGGCAUAAACACGUCAUAUCCCUCGGUGUAUAAAAGAACGUUAAGAGUGUCCAUAUUUUGACUCAUUGUAUGCUCUCUCCUGCCUCCUCAGAUGACGACUCGUGGGACCUGGUGACGUGUUUCUGCAUGAAGCCUUUCGCAGGCCGGGCCAUGAUCGAGUGUAACCAGUGCAACACCUGGAUCCACCUGUCCUGUGCCAAGAUCCGUAAGAGCCACGUUCCAGAGACAUAUACGUGCCAGAGCUGCCGAGAGUCACUCGGGACCGCAGACGCCCGCCGGUCCCACCGCUCGCGCAUAGGCCCGCGCAAGCAUCUGCUGGACUGACCCCAGGUCGACCCCUGAACUCUGACCCCUUCCACUCCUGCCUCCAUGCCGCCUGCUGGACUGACCCUUCCUCAAAUUCAGAAACUGUCUUCCAGCCUCUCAAUUAAGACGUUCCUUGGCCAUACACAAAGUUCUCACACCUUUUUAUUUUCAAAAUGUUUAAACAGUGUUUGUCUUUCACCAGAAUCCUUUUCAGAUGAGCAGUUUUUUUCUAUAUUAAAUAACUUCUUAUUUCACAUAUAUAAAACUGUCCAGAUUCAGAUGACAGGGUUUUCAGUUUGAAGUUCUCUUUUGCCUCUUCUCAGUGUUUUUGCUGCAUUCAAUGACGGGUUAGAACAGUGGUAUUGUUCAUAACUAUUUUUAUUUUCCAACCAUUAUUUGAAUUCACCUCUGUUUCAUGUCUUCUGUUUUCAUGCUCAUGACAGAGUUUUCAGAGACAAGCAUAUUUAUAGAAGGGAACUCCUUUGACCGUCCUGUUAAAGUAUCAACAGAAAAUAAAGCUAUUGUAACUGGAAUAGUGUUGUUAGAAAUAGUCCAGUUGAAAUUAUGCAUGAGUGUUUGUUUGAAAGGAUGACAGUGUGAGGGUGUUGGCAAAGCAUGUGCUGCUAUGGCUCAACUUAGCUUCAUGGUUUCAAUCUUUGUAAGAAACAGAAAUGGAUAUCUGCAAAGAACCAUGGGCCGGUCGGUCUGUUUUUGUUUGUCUCUGAAGGGUCACAUCAUGAGAACAGAUUUAGUCUCUUACCUCUCACUAAUGUUUUCACAGCAGUAUUCACUUAUUUCCACAUGCAGCAGGUUUAGUUGAAAAAAAUGCUUUUACUAUUGCACUGUUCCCCUAAAACUUGCUGGAAAUGUUGUUUUUUAAGCUUCGUUAUUCAUGUGCCAUCUGCUGUUUUUUCUGAUCAAAUAUAAAAGCCAUACUGUAGUGACAGAUUUUAGACUCAGAACCUUUUAUACAAGUCCAGGAUGGGAUUUUACAAUGCAGAAUCAGUUACUUCGACUGGGCAAUGACUCACAUACACAAUGCAUCUUUGGUAUGUGAAGAAUACAGGACUUUCUAAAAGUUUAAAGUGGUUAAGCUACACUCUUGUCUGGUUAACUGGUUUCUAUCCAGCAAUCACCAGUUCAUAAGAAACAUCAGGUUUUUAUGUUUUUAGGGAGUUUUCAAGACAUAAAAAGCAGUUUCUCAGGACGUUCAUGUCAUGAAAAGAGAACCUGAAGAGAUAUCUUUGGGCACAAAGUCCAAAUUCUAGUCUGCCUCUUUAAUACAUCAGUGUAAUCAAUGUUAGCUCAUUGUGAUAAAGCUCGUUUGAUCCAGAUCUUGGGUUAUCCUAUCCCCUUAUUGAGAAAGCGUUGUCUGUUCUGUGGUGCAAACUGUUUCUGUGAAACUAUUGUAAACUAUUGUAAAUAAAGAGUUACCAUUUUAA